Molecule: ribosomal RNA, 1054 nt
Filed under: uncultured Nitrosospira sp.
Lineage: Bacteria; Pseudomonadati; Pseudomonadota; Betaproteobacteria; Nitrosomonadales; Nitrosomonadaceae
Description: bacterial SSU rRNA
Rfam family: Bacterial small subunit ribosomal RNA
Source: RNAcentral
AAAGGUGUGCUAAUACCGCAUAAUCUCUCAGGAGAAAAGCAGGGGAUCGCAAGACCUUGCGCUUUAGGAGCGGCCGAUGCCUGAUUAGCUUGUUGGUAAGGUAAAAGCUUACCAAGGCUUCGAUCAGUAGCUGGUCUGAGAGGACGACCAGCCACACUGGGACUGAGACACGGCCCAGACUCCUACGGGAGGCAGCAGUGGGGAAUUUUGGACAAUGGGGGAAACCCUGAUCCAGCCAUGCCGCGUGAGUGAAGAAGGCCUUCGGGUUGUAAAGCUCUUUCAGCCGGAACGAAACGGUUACGAUUAAUACUCGUAAUUAAUGACGGUACCGGCAGAAGAAGCACCGGCUAACUACGUGCCAGCAGCCGCGGUAAUACGUAGGGUGCGAGCGUUAAUCGGAAUUACUGGGCGUAAAGGGUCCGCAGGUUGUUUUGUAAGUCAGAUGUGAAAGCCCCGGGCUUAACCUGGGAACUGCGUCUGAAACUACAAGGCUAGAGUAUGGCAGAGGGGGGUGGAAUUCCGCGUGUAGCAGUGAAAUGCGUAGAUAUGUGGAGGAACACUGAUGGCGAAGGCAGCCCCCUGGGUCAAUACUGACGCUGAGGGACGAAAGCAUGGGGAGCAAACAGGAUUAGAUACCCUGGUAGUCCAUGCCCUAAACGAUGUCAACUAGUUGUCGGGCCUUUACGGGCUUGGUAACGUAGCUAACGCGUGAAGUUGACCGCCUGGGGAGUACGAUCGCAAGAUUAAAACUCAAAUGAAUUGACGGGGACCCGCACAAGCGGUGGAUUGUGUGGAUUAAUUCGAUGCAACGCGAAAAACCUUACCUACCCUUGACAUGUAUCGAAGCCCGCAGAAAAGCGGGGGUGCCCGAAAGGGAACGAUAACACAGGUGCUGCAUGGCUGUCGUCAGCUCGUGUCGUGAGAUGUUGGGUUAAGUCCCGCAACGAGCGCAACCCUUGUCAUUAAUUGCCAUCAUUUAGUUGGGCACUUUAAUGAGACUGCCGGUGACAAACCGGAGGAAGGUGGGGAUGACGUCAAGUCCUCAUGGCCCUUA